CGAACGGUUAAACCGCCCUCGGGCGGACAUACAGUGGCGAACGGGUGAGUAACACGUGACCAACCUGCCCCGCGCUCCGGGACAACCGCUGGAAACGGCGGCUAAUACCGGAUACUCCGCGGCCCCCGCAUGGGGGCGGCGGGAAAGCCCCGACGGCGCGGGAUGGGGUCGCGGCCCAUUAGGUAGUAGGCGGGGUAGAGGCCCACCUAGCCGACGAUGGGUAGCCGGACUGAGAGGUCGAUCGGCCACAUUGGGACUGAGAUACGGCCCAGACUCCUACGGAAGGCAGCAG
This 292-nucleotide ribosomal RNA is filed under the name uncultured bacterium. RNAcentral describes it as "partial 16S ribosomal RNA". It matches the Rfam family "Bacterial small subunit ribosomal RNA", at positions 63 to 354 of the family's 1533-position model. The record is from RNAcentral.